AUACUUACCAGUCUGGGGUGAUGAUACUAUGAUCAUGAAGGUGAUUUUUCCAGGAUGAGGCUUAUCCAUUGUACUCCAGAUGCGCUGCCCACUGUGAUUUCUCCAAAUAUGGGAAACUCAAUUGCAUAAUUUGUGGUAGUGGGGGACUGCCUUUUUGCUCUCCCCAC
This is a small nuclear RNA of Phyllostomus discolor (pale spear-nosed bat), 167 nucleotides long. RefSeq annotates it as U1 spliceosomal RNA. The transcript has a single exon. NCBI's taxonomy places the organism in Eukaryota, Metazoa, Chordata, Mammalia, Chiroptera, Phyllostomidae. The record is from RefSeq and is a predicted model, not a curated record.